AUCAAUUUGUAAGUUAAAAAAUAAAUAAUUCUAUACUAUGUCUACUACUUUUGUUAUUAAGAAUCAUAUUAUCUUAUGAUGGUUUUUGAGAAUGAGUGCAUAUAAUCUUACCGCAUUCUGCAACAGUGGUUUUGAUUGUUGUCACCAAAGUAGUGUCUCUGAAAGUUAGUCCCUGUGAGGGAGUUGAGGGAGUGGAUACUGCUACAAAUGUUGAGGUUCUUGUUAUUACUGUAGUAGUACCACUUGUUAAUGGCAUUAUUGGUCUUAGAGUAGUGACAUCACUUGUGACUGUCGAUGUAGCAGUGGGAGUUGUGGCAUCACUUGAAGUGACUGUAGACGUAGUUGAAGUAGUGGUGGCAUCGCUUGAAGUGACUGUGGAUGUAGUUGAGGGAGUGGUGGCAUCACUUGAAGUGACUGUAGACGUAGUUGAAGUAGUGGUGGCAUCACUUGAAGUGACUGUGGAUGUAGGUGAAGUAGUGGUGGCAUCACUUGAAGUGACUGUGGAUGUAGUUGAAGGAGUGGUGGCAUCACUUGAAGUGACUGUUGAUGUAGUUGAAGGAGUGGUGGCAUCACUUGAAGUGACUGUUGAUGUAGUUGAGGGAUUGGUGGCAUCACUUGAAGUGACUGUUGAUGUAGUUGAGGGAGUGGUGGUAUCACUUGUAGUGACUGUUGAUGUCAUUGAGGGAAUGGUGGCAUCACUUGAAGUGACUAUUAAUAUAGUUGAGGUGGUGGUGGCAUCACUUGAAGUGACUGUUGAUGUAGUUGAGGGAGUGGUGGCAUCACUUGAAGUGACUGUUGAUGUAGUUGAGGGAGUGGUGGAAUCACUUGAAGUGACUGUUGAUGUAGUUGAGGGAGUGGUGGCAUCACUUGAAGUGACUAUUAAUAUAGUUGAGGUGGUGGUGGAAUCACUUGAAGUGACUGUUGAUGCAGUUGAGGGAGUGGUGGCAUCACUUGAAGUGACUGUUGAUGUAGUUGAGGGAGUGGUGGAAUCACUUGAAGUGACUGUUGAUGUAGUUGAGUGAGUGGUGGCAUCACUUGAAGUGACUGUUGAUGUAGUGGUGGUGGUG
This is a long non-coding RNA of Oncorhynchus tshawytscha (Chinook salmon), 1067 nucleotides long. NCBI's taxonomy places the organism in Eukaryota, Metazoa, Chordata, Actinopteri, Salmoniformes, Salmonidae. The record is from Ensembl.